GUGUGUUUGCAUAUGUGUCCUGCCUCUCUGCUCCCAGCCGUUAAGAGGCCAGUGUUGAUCAGUGGCUGUCCAGGCCUUUCACAGCCACUGACACGCCGGCAGCACAAUGAUGAUGUCACUGCUUCUACUGCUGGCCACCCUGGGGCUCCUUGUUCAGGGUUCAUCAGGAGAAAUCACCCUGACUCAGUCUCCUGGAGCUCAGUCUGUUGCUGCAGGACAGACUGUUUCUAUCAGAUGUAGAACCAGUACAAGUGUUAGUAACUACCUCCACUGGUACCUUCAGAAACCUGGACAAGCUCCUCAGCUCCUGAUUUAUUAUGCUACAAGCCGUCAGUCUGGAGUUUCUGAUCGUUUCAGUGGAAGUGGAUCUGGGACUGACUACACUCUGACCAUCAGUGGAGUUCAGGCUGAAGAUUCAGGAGUUUACUACUGUCAGCAGAGUUCUAGCUUCCCGUUCACACAGUGAAAAAGCGUCGUACAAAAACCUCCCUCAGCUGGAGAGGAACUGAUCUGACUCAACAGCUGCACUGACACUAAACAACAGAGGUUUCACUACAAGAAUAUCUUCAAUAAUAAUCACUUUCAACAUUUGAACACUAAAUAUACUGUAUUUAAUCCAAAAAGUUCUGCUUUUUAUACUUUUAGUGAAACAGGGAUUGAAACAUUCUUCUGUGUGUAGAUGCCAACCUCUGCUGAAAUACUUCAGUUCUACAGUUUAAUAACAUGUAAACACUAAAAUUACUAACAUGUUUUUAAUCUUCUACCAUUUUUCAAAGAAACCCAAAUAUUUAUCAGUUGAAUUUUAGAAUUGAAUCUAUUAAACAGCUGGUUUCAGAAGCAGAAGCACCACAUAAAUAUUUUGUAGGUUAAGUUUGUUGAUCACACUCUUUUUAUUUCUCUCUACGCAGAUGAUAUCAUGCUGUUUAUUACAGAUUUAGGACAUAAUAUUCAAAAAUGUUCUUGAUUUUCUUAAAAGUUAAUGCAUUUCCUUUGGAUACAGUUGAAACAACAAGUCUUUAUCAUUAUCUCACGCAGUAAUAAGAGAUGAUUUGAGGGUUUUAAUCAAAUUGUUCCUCCCAUGAGUUUUGUAUAAAUUUGUAUUAUUACAGACAAUUCUGAAG
Non-coding RNA from Acanthopagrus latus (yellowfin seabream), 1121 nucleotides. Lineage: Eukaryota; Metazoa; Chordata; Actinopteri; Spariformes; Sparidae. The record is from the annotation of a RefSeq genome assembly.